GACGAACGCUGGCGGCGUGCUUAACACAUGCAAGUCGAACGGAAAGGCCCUUCGGGGUACUCGUGUGCCGAACGGGUGCGUAUCACUUGGGUGAUCUGCCCUUCCCUUUCGGUUAAGCCUGGGCCACUGGGUCUAAUACUGAUUCGGACCACGCGCUUCAUGGUGUUUGGUUGAUAGCUUUUGCGGUGGGGGAUGGUCCCGCGGCCUAUCAGCUUGUUGGUGGGGUAAUGGCCUACCAAGGCGACGACGGGUAGCCGGCCUGAGAGGGUGAUCGGCCACACUGGGAAUGAGAUACGGCCCAGACUCCUACGGGAGGCAGCAGUGGGGAAUAUUGCACAAUGGGCGCAAGCCUGAUGCAGCGACGCCGCGUGGGGGAUGACGGCCUUCGGGUUGUAAACCUCUUUCAAUAGGGACGAAGCGCAAGUGACGGUACCUAUAGAAGAAGCACCGGCCAACUACGUG
RNAcentral lists this ribosomal RNA (462 nucleotides) under uncultured bacterium. RNAcentral describes it as "partial 16S ribosomal RNA". It matches the Rfam family "Bacterial small subunit ribosomal RNA", at positions 28 to 507 of the family's 1533-position model. The record is from RNAcentral.